This 281-nucleotide unclassified non-coding RNA is filed under the name Hevea brasiliensis (rubber tree). Lineage: Eukaryota; Viridiplantae; Streptophyta; Magnoliopsida; Malpighiales; Euphorbiaceae. The record is from RNAcentral.
GAGGCUGUAAAAGUGAUUGAAACGAGAGCAUUUGGUUUUGCACGUUUAACAUAUUUUGAGGUUGUUUGGAGAGGCCUAGAUCAGAAGGCAGUUGAUAGUUAAUAGAACUAGCUGGAUUGAAAGUACUAUUUGUGGCUGGAAUGGAUAAGGUCAUUGUAUUGUUAUUAUUGGUAGUGGUAGCAGCAUUAGUAGCAUCAACCAUAGUAUUGUUCAACAAUGAAGAGGAAGUAGAAGAAGAUGAUGAUGAUGAGGAGGAGGUGAAUAAAAAUGGAGAUUGUUGA